GGGUCACAGUCAUUCUGAUGAGUCAGACAGCAGAUGGAGGGAAGAGAAACUAUCUCAAGAGAAGUGCUGACACCUGAGCUGCUGUGGGCAUUGUCUGUGGAUAGAGGACAACAUUUCAUCAGGUGCUCCAGUACCUGCAGAGUAACAACUCCCCCUGUAGGAUUAAGCCAGGAAAAUCUUUGAGCUAUCUGCAAUUACUGGCUGCAGUUCAUCGAGGCUUCACUGAGGCUUUUGAGGUAAGUAAAAUGCUGCCGUGCAUGUUUUCCGUGGAUUAGUAUUCAAUUUUCUUUCAUUUGUCACGAAUUAAGUCAUCAUGACGGUAUUUUAAGGGUUAUUCAUUAAUAAACAUUCCAAUAUUACAGCUUAUUUGUGACAUGACAUUCAAAUAAUUUCAAGGUUUUCCUAUCCACUUGAAAUCCUGCAUUUCUAAUCAAGUCAAAAUUCGACAUGAGCAUAAUUUUUCUUCUCUCUGCUUCAUUCAUACGUUUUAUUUUUUCUUUGUUUUUGUUUGUUUGUUUUUAUUUAUGCAAGCUGUCUGAUACUUAUGUGGGUCAUCAAAUGUGAAAGAUCUAUGUCAACUCAAAACAUAAUGACAUGUAGAUGAGAUGUUAUUGAUCCCACGCUGGGGAAAUGUACUGGUUACAUCAGCUCAAAGCAAGAAAAAUCGAAAAAGAAUAAAAAAAAAACUGGUAUCAUGUGUGUCUGUGUGUGUAC
This is a long non-coding RNA of Pelmatolapia mariae (spotted tilapia), 714 nucleotides long. RefSeq lists it as uncharacterized. The record is from RefSeq and is a predicted model, not a curated record. Lineage: Eukaryota; Metazoa; Chordata; Actinopteri; Cichliformes; Cichlidae. The transcript has 3 exons.